Molecule: long non-coding RNA, 2953 nt
Organism: Equus caballus (horse)
Lineage: Eukaryota; Metazoa; Chordata; Mammalia; Perissodactyla; Equidae
Source: Ensembl
GAAGACCCUUCAGCCCACCACAUAGGACUGUUUAUAAUUUCUUCUUUCCUCCCAGGCUGCCCAUAAUCAAAAGGGCACACACGUUGGAGCCAGCCAGAUCUUGGGGCUGCCACAUACUAGCUGUGUGACCUCGGGUAAUUUUACUUAACUCACCUAAUUCCAAAGUCCCUGUACUGGAAUAAUUUUAUCUACAUCCUAGGUUUUCCAUAAGGAUUCAAGCGCGUAUGUAAAGAGCCUUAAACAGUUUGUAGCAUAUAGCUGACACUCAAAAAGAGGUAGCCGAUUAUAGUGCUCACCAGACGUUUAUUGAACCCUUUCUGGGUGCCAGGCCCAGGGUUGAGGGAUUUACAGGCAUUAUUUCAUUUAAUCCUCCCAACAAUCCUGGGAGGUGUCCCUACUGUGCUCCUCAUGGGCCAGACACUGUGUUAAGUCCUUCACACCCGAACAAAUCAUUAACUCCUGACAACAGCUGGAGCACAGAGGUUACAGAGCACGGCCAAGGAUGCACAGCUCUGUUCCUCAAUCCACGCUGGAUGGCUGGGUGCUGCUGCCCUCCAAACAGGGCAGUCCCUGAGAUGAUGGUGGCACGGUGUGACGUUCCUUGGGCUCCAUCCACCUGAAGGCAUAAACAGAGGGUGGAAUCCAGGCAACUGAAUGGAACCGAAUCAAGAUUUGGGGACGGUUUUACGGUGGGGAGAGCUUCAGGAGGAAGUGCGGCAUGAGGGCUUAGAGGACACCUCUGCCCUGUUUGCUGGCACAUCUGGGAAGGGACAAGGCAGCAGCCACAGCUGCCACAUUCCUGAUCUUGCCAAGGACUCGCUCUGGUUCCUGUGAUGGGCACCUGGGCUCUGGAAGGUCAGGCAAACCCAGACAGUGCUGGUUCUCCCCGAAGCUGGGAACCAAGAAAACAAUGACUGGAAAGUAAUGAUCUACAGGCUAUUCUUGCUGUAAUUUUUCCACAGAAACAUACUAUGUAGAAAGCUAAGUAAAUUCUUGGAAACCUGGAAAUCCCCCAAAACUGGUAGAAGCUGCUUUUUUUUUUCCUACUAUUUAAUGAAAAAGAGAUAGAGAAAAACCACAUUUCUUGGAUUUAAUUUUGUUCACACAAACUUUGUUUUUGUAAAAGAAAAACUGGCGCUGUUUAAGCAUGAAACUGUCAUUCCAGUAACUCUUUAAAAAGUUGUCUAUAAUUGUGUGGCUUGGAAAAUUAAUUUCUUUCCAGAUGAAGAAACCCGAAACAGAUCUUUUGAGUGAAAAUUAUUGGCCCUCGCCCCCCUCAGGGGGCAGAUGGAACAAUGGGAAGGAGCAGAGGAGCGUGUUGGACUCCCAGCCAAACAAAAGGGCUGCCCGCAACUUGCCUAAAAUAGAAAGUAAAAGUUAGCCACAGCCUGGCGCCUGGCAGGCCCCUCUUCGGAGCCCUCUGUGGAGCAGCGAGGACCUCGGCAGGAUGCUGUCCCAGAGCCUCUCUGGAGAAGUACAUAAGCUCCGGAGGCAGUAAAAGCAGAAGCUCAAGCCCCCUGACUCCGCUUCCCACCUGAGAGGCGCAGGUUUGCCCAUCAAAUUCACCUGACACGGGAGUGGCUUUGCUUUGUUCUGCUGCAGAAAUUCAAAUCGCAAACGUUUUGGUUCUUUUUAAAGAUCGUUGGAGAAUGGUACAUAUUACAAGAGCUUUAUUUAAUGGAGGAGUUAUUGGCGAGGUAAUAAACUGCUAAUUUGGGGUCAAGCCUUGCCUGCGAACUGUGAAGGACUUGGAUUCAAAUCCCAGCUUUGCCACUUCCUGUCCGUGUGCCCUCAGCCUCUCCGAGCUCCGGGUCAAACGGCGAGGGUAAUUCCUGUCAUCCUGGUGUGGUGUGAGGAUCAGCAAUCCGGGUGAGGAAGGGCCGGCCUGCACGUAGGCAGGGCUUAGGGACCUCCGCUUCCAUCCCGCUCUGGCCAAGAGAAGGCAGGUGGCUCGCUGCACCUCGCCAGCUCACCUGAGAGGCUGGCAAAGGGAGGGAGGGGGAAGGAGGCAGUGAGAGAAGAAAGGAGAGGGUGGGGGUAGGAAGGAAAGGAAACCCCCAAGCAGGUUCUAAUCCUCACAUAGCGUCUUAUUAAUGUUCCUCACGGAAUUUGCACCCCAACUGCCCGGCUGACCGUAACACGGAUGCCCGCAUCCCCUCGUGCGCUCGCAAACGGUUCACACGAAACCGACACGGCAAAGUCACGCCCUCGCGCUGAAGCCGACUUUCCGAUUUUGAAAGCUUGUCUCUCCCAUAUAAAAGGCUUUGUUUUUUCUUUUCGCGCGCUUCUGCCUCCCCCGGCCGGCCCUCCCGCCCCUCCCUCACGGCGCGCACACAAAAGAAGCCCGGAGCGGAGGUACCGGAACCUGCGGGCUUGUUUACCACUCGGGCGGCCGGCGAGGCGCUGCCCGGCGCCGCCACCUACCGGCGGGAGACGGCGCUGCGCCCGGGCGCGGGCCAAGCGCUGCGGGCCGAUGACCCAACGCCGCAGAAUGCCACCCAGAAGGCUGGGCAAGUCAGGAGACCUCACUGGCUGGUCUGCGGACCUCUUGCGAAGGUCUCCGGGGGCCCGGGGCCGGAAGGCAAUGGCUGCCCCUUCUCACUGCCUCCUCCCAAACGCAGGUCCUGCCCACUGAUGAUGGGUACGUUUCUGGAGGGCAAUUGGAAGAUGUUUAUCAGGAUUUUAAAUGUUUGCCGUUUGCCUAUUUCAUUCCACUUCCAAGUUGUAUCCUAGGCAGGUAAUGAGGAGCAUGUAUUCAGAUGAUGGUCACAGCCCUGCUGAUGACAGCAGCAACAGUUGGCCUUCACUGAGCAUCUACUAUGCGCUAGAAACUGUUAUAAAUGUCUUACAAAUAUCUACUCACAACGUCCCCGUGCAGUGGGUAUUACUAAUACCCCUAUUUUAUAGAGGAGGAAUCUGCGCUCAGAGGUUAGGUUUCCACUCAAGAGCACCC